Paramuricea clavata is the source of this 403-nucleotide non-coding RNA. NCBI's taxonomy places the organism in Eukaryota, Metazoa, Cnidaria, Anthozoa, Malacalcyonacea, Plexauridae. The record is from the annotation of a GenBank genome assembly.
UACAACGAUUACUAGCCUAUACAAGGACUUAUGUUUAAUAACACUAAUAUUACAGUAUAGACCGAUCUGAUCAAUGGUCCGGCGUAAUGCUUUUGAAGAAUCGUUUCCCACUCGACGUUUGAAACAUGAGAACUGAAUAACGGAAUUAAGACGUCAAUAGACCUCAUAAUUAGGCUAACUAAUCGGCUUUUCAUCAUAUAGCCAUUACAGCACGUUCGUUCCAAUUCGUUUUCAACUGUAUUUUUUUAUAAGAUUUUAUAUGCAGACUUUACAGUUAUAUAUUUGUAACCCAUUCCCUAAUCCCUGAUAUGAUCGCGAAUUCUACGCCAAGAUCGAAACACUAACAUGCAAACUUAUUGUCGUAUAUACGCAUGUAUAAAUGAAGAAACAUCUCAAAAUACUG